AACGAACGCUGGCGGCAUGCCUAACACAUGCCAGUCGAACGAGACCUUCGGGUCUAGUGGCGCACGGGUGCGUAACGCGUGGGAACCUGCCCUUAGGUUCGGAAUAACUCCCCGAAAGGGGUGCUAAUACCGGAUAAUGUCUUCGGACCAAAGAUUUAUCGCCUUUGGAUGGGCCCGCGUUGGAUUAGCUAGUUGGUAGGGUAAAAGCCUACCAAGGCGACGAUCCAUAGCUGGUCUGAGAGGAUGAUCAGCCACACUGGGACUGAGACACGGCCCAGACUCCUACGGGAGGCAGCAGUGGGGAAUAUUGGAAAAUGGGCGAAAGCCUGAUCCAGCAAUGCCGCGUGAGUGAUGAAGGCCUUAGGGUUGUAAAGCUCUUUUACCCGGGAUGAUAAUGACAGUACCGGGAGAAUAAGCUCCGGCUAACUCCGUG
RNAcentral lists this ribosomal RNA (433 nucleotides) under uncultured bacterium. RNAcentral's name for it is "partial 16S ribosomal RNA". It matches the Rfam family "Bacterial small subunit ribosomal RNA", at positions 29 to 507 of the family's 1533-position model. The record is from RNAcentral.